Molecule: ribosomal RNA, 429 nt
Filed under: Gemmatimonadota bacterium
Lineage: Bacteria; Pseudomonadati; Gemmatimonadota
Description: Gemmatimonadetes bacterium partial 16S ribosomal RNA
Rfam family: Bacterial small subunit ribosomal RNA
Source: RNAcentral
UAGGGAAUCUUCGGCAAUGGACGAAAGUCUGACCGAGCAACGCCGCGUGAGUGAAGAAGGUUUUCGGAUCGUAAAACUCUGUUGUUAGAGAAGAACAAGGACGUUAGUAACUGAACGUCCCCUGACGGUAUCUAACCAGAAAGCCACGGCUAACUACGUGCCAGCAGCCGCGGUAAUACGUAGGUGGCAAGCGUUGUCCGGAUUUAUUGGGCGUAAAGCGAGCGCAGGCGGUUUCUUAAGUCUGAUGUGAAAGCCCCCGGCUCAACCGGGGAGGGUCAUUGGAAACUGGAGGGCUUGAGUGCAGAAGAGGAGAGUGGAAUUCCAUGUGUAGCGGUGAAAUGCGUAGAUAUAUGGAGGAACACCAGUGGCGAAGGCGGCUCUCUGGUCUGUAACUGACGCUGAGGCUCGAAAGCGUGGGGAGCAAACAGG